UAGGGAAUCUUCGGCAAUGGGGGGAACCCUGACCGAGCAACGCCGCGUGAGUGAAGAAGGUUCUCGGAUCGUAAAGCUCUGUUGUUAAGGAAGAACGAGUGUGAGAAUGGAAAGUUCAUGCUGUGACGGUACUUAACCAGAACGGGACGGCUAACUACGUGCCAGCAGCCGCGGUAAUACGUAGGUCCCGAGCGUUGUCCGGAUUUAUUGGGUGUAAAGCGAGCGAAGGGGGUUAGAAAAGUCUGAAGUGAAAGGCAGUGGCUCAACCAUUGUAGGCUUUGGAAACUGUAGAGCUUGAGUGCAGAAGGGGCGGAAGGAAUUCCAUGUGUAGCGGUGAAAUGCGUAGAUAUAUGGAGGAACACCGGUGGCGAAAGCGGCUCUCUGGGCUGUAACUGACGCUGAGGCACGAAAGCGUGGGGAGCGAACAGG
This 429-nucleotide ribosomal RNA is filed under the name Bacteroidota bacterium. Its description in RNAcentral is "Bacteroidetes bacterium partial 16S ribosomal RNA". It matches the Rfam family "Bacterial small subunit ribosomal RNA", at positions 355 to 776 of the family's 1533-position model. Lineage: Bacteria; Pseudomonadati; Bacteroidota. The record is from RNAcentral.